Molecule: long non-coding RNA, 1189 nt
Organism: Mauremys mutica (yellowpond turtle)
Lineage: Eukaryota; Metazoa; Chordata; Testudines; Geoemydidae
Exons: 6
Source: RefSeq, a predicted model, not a curated record
UUUUGAUCCAAUAAGCAACUACCUGACCUUUCAAUACUGUAUGUACAAUAUCACGUAAUGGGCUCCAGUUAUGUAGGGAGCAAGAGAGAAUCUGCUCUGAUCAUUCCUGAAAAUAAUACACUGUAAUUAACUUGAUUUAAAAAGUUUGGCAACAAGCACAGAUUGAGCAGAGACACACUGUCUGCAUCGCUGCUGCUCCAGUAACAGACCCUAAAAGCUUCACCAGUGAUCUGUUAUUCUUACAAGAGACAACAAAGCUCCCAACAGGCAAAGAACAACAGAAUUAAUGGAUUGGAAAGCGAGAGUCUACUGUAUGAGCUUUCAAAACUCUCCCUAGACAAGCAGACUGAUUGUGCAUAUCCACAGGUCACCAACGUUCUUAGCAAUCUUUUGAAAACUAUCAACUGCUUGGUGACACAGAGGAACUUGGUGCCUCUCAAGAAAAGCCACAAAAAUGAUUCAAGGACUAGAGAAAAUGUCUUCUGGGAAGAGCCUUGAAAAAUCUAAAUUUGUUUAGAUUAUCAAAAAAGAAGAUUGUGAGAGAAAAGCUUCCACCUGGAAACCUUGAAAGUGAAGUUCGAGGCACAAUUCCAUAGGUAACUUUCCCCGACAAACACGAGGACCAGAUGCUUCACUGGUGUGUACCUGCUGCCUACAAAUAAUACAUCACACGAUGCCAAAGGUCCAGUCAGUGCAGAUCCAGCCUAAGAAACACCCAGCCAUAAGGUUUGCUGGAGCCCAACUGCUCCAAAAUCAGAAAUCUUCUUGGGAAGAGGAAGACAUUCAAGCAGAAUACUGAGCUCAUUUUCAAAGGUUCCCUGAAGCUGACAGGCAGUGAGGAAAAUUGCUGUUUUGUGUUAAUCUGAGCUGGAGAUAAGCUCAAGUGAAUUCAAUAAAGGAAGAGAAAGUCUUGGGUUCCUCAGAGCUCCAUGCUUCAACUUAGCACAACGUCAAGUGAUAACACAUCACCACUGACCAAUGGAAAACAAGUUAGGAGCAUUGUAUCAUCAGGCAACACUCUCCAUUGUGUUACAUGGUUUCUGUAGCUUCUUCAAGCUUUAAGAGACAGCAAUAGGAAGAAAAUGUAUGACCUAAAUCUGCCAGGCACCUUCAAAGCAAAGGAAGAAACACAUGUGGGAAAGUAUUAGCAAGCCACCCAGCUCCCUUUAAUUAUUAUGAGAAUGCCAAC